Molecule: ribosomal RNA, 280 nt
Filed under: uncultured prokaryote
Description: partial 16S ribosomal RNA
Rfam family: Bacterial small subunit ribosomal RNA
Source: RNAcentral
UACGUAGGGGCUAGCGUUAUCCGGAAUUACUGGGCGUAAAGGGUGCGUAGGUGGUUUCUUAAGUCAGAGGUGAAAGGCUACGGCUCAACCGUAGUAAGCCUUUGAAACUGGGAAACUUGAGUGCAGGAGAGGAGAGUGGAAUUCCUAGUGUAGCGGUGAAAUGCGUAGAUAUUAGGAGGAACACCAGUGGCGAAGGCGGCCUGCUGGACAUUAACUGACGCUGAGGCGCGAAAGCGUGGGGAGCAAACAGGAUUAGAUACCCGCGUAGUCCCUGAGCGGG